Molecule: long non-coding RNA, 464 nt
Filed under: Mytilus galloprovincialis (Mediterranean mussel)
Lineage: Eukaryota; Metazoa; Mollusca; Bivalvia; Mytilida; Mytilidae
Source: RNAcentral
UAAUUGUUUUUAUCUUUAUUAUGAAUCAUGUAAUGGAUUAUAAAUGUAUGGUAUAAUAAAUAACAUCCAACAGUUAUAUAGCAAAACAACAAUCAAAACAAAGAAAUGUUAGAAAAGAUAGAACAAUAAUUUAAAUACUCAUUUGUAAAAACAAUUAAAUCACUGCAUACACAUUGAUGAAUACCUGGUAUCAGAUGAAUGAUGUAUUGUAAAACAGGGUUGUUACUGUUGAUAUGUUGUAUGCAUACAUAAUAGUACUCAGUUUUACAUUGUCUUGUGUAUUUCAAUAAAAAGAGCAAUUCAUCACCAAUUCCUUCAUCCAAAAAAAAAAAAAAAAUUGUUACAAAAAAUUGAUACUUUUAAAAGGUAUAUAGAAAUAACAAGUGAAACUGCGAGCUACUGCUCACUGAUGAUACCCCUGCCGCAAGUGGAUAAUAUAAUAGUGUAAAAAUAUGCAAGUGUUC